RNAcentral lists this transfer RNA (73 nucleotides) under Echinostoma caproni. It matches the Rfam family "tRNA". Rfam says of the family: Transfer RNA (tRNA) molecules are approximately 80 nucleotides in length. The record is from Rfam by way of RNAcentral. Lineage: Eukaryota; Metazoa; Platyhelminthes; Trematoda; Plagiorchiida; Echinostomatidae.
GGCCCUGUGGCCUAAUGGAUAAGGCGUCUGACUUCGAAUCAGAGGGUUGCAGGUUCGAGUCCUGUCAGGGUCG